AGAAUCAACGCUGGCGGCGUGCCUAACACAUGCAAGUCGCACGAGAAAGGGUAGCAAUACCUGAGUAAAGUGGCGCACGGGUGAGUAACACGUGAAUUAUCUACCUCCGAGUGGGGAAUAACUGAGAGAAAUCUUAGCUAAUACCGCAUAACACUUACGAGCCAAAGCAGCAAUGCGCUUGGAGAGGAGUUCGCGGCAGAUUAGUUAGUUGGCGGGGUAAUGGCCCACCAAGACGAUGAUCU
RNAcentral lists this ribosomal RNA (242 nucleotides) under uncultured bacterium. RNAcentral's name for it is "partial small subunit ribosomal RNA". It matches the Rfam family "Bacterial small subunit ribosomal RNA", at positions 26 to 282 of the family's 1533-position model. The record is from RNAcentral.